GAAUGAAGGAACCAUGGUGAUGUGCACAGGAAUUGAAUAGGAUCUCUAGGCCUACCCUCUCUGAUGCCUUUCGGCUUUCAUUUGCGGGCAUGGUUCCGUAGCAAAACA
Rhododendron vialii is the source of this 108-nucleotide small nucleolar RNA. RefSeq annotates it as small nucleolar RNA snoR100. Lineage: Eukaryota; Viridiplantae; Streptophyta; Magnoliopsida; Ericales; Ericaceae. The transcript has a single exon. The record is from RefSeq and is a predicted model, not a curated record.